RNAcentral lists this ribosomal RNA (820 nucleotides) under Lodderomyces parapsilosis. RNAcentral describes it as "LSU rRNA". It matches the Rfam family "Eukaryotic large subunit ribosomal RNA", at positions 83 to 920 of the family's 3401-position model. Lineage: Eukaryota; Fungi; Ascomycota; Pichiomycetes; Serinales; Debaryomycetaceae. The record is from RNAcentral.
GUAGCGGCGAGUGAAGCGGCAAAAGCUCAAAUUUGAAAUCUGGCACUUUCAGUGUCCGAGUUGUAAUUUGAAGAAGGUAUCUUUGGGUCUGGCUCUUGUCUAUGUUUCUUGGAACAGAACGUCACAGAGGGUGAGAAUCCCGUGCGAUGAGAUGUCCCAGACCUAUGUAAAGUUCCUUCGAAGAGUCGAGUUGUUUGGGAAUGCAGCUCUAAGUGGGUGGUAAAUUCCAUCUAAAGCUAAAUAUUGGCGAGAGACCGAUAGCGAACAAGUACAGUGAUGGAAAGAUGAAAAGAACUUUGAAAAGAGAGUGAAAAAGUACGUGAAAUUGUUGAAAGGGAAGGGCUUGAGAUCAGACUUGGUAUUUUGUAUGUUACUCUCUCGGGGGUGGCCUCUACAGUUUACCGGGCCAGCAUCAGUUUGAGCGGUAGGAUAAGUGCAAAGAAAUGUGGCACUGCUUCGGUAGUGUGUUAUAGUCUUUGUCGAUACUGCCAGCUUAGACUGAGGACUGCGGCUUCGGCCUAGGAUGUUGGCAUAAUGAUCUUAAGUCGCCCGUCUUGAAACACGGACCAAGGAGUCUAACGUCUAUGCGAGUGUUUGGGUGUAAAACCCGUACGCGUAAUGAAAGUGAACGUAGGUAGGACCUCCUUUAGGAGUGCACUAUCGACCGAUCCUGAUGUCUUCGGAUGGAUUUGAGUAAGAGCAUAGCUGUUGGGACCCGAAAGAUGGUGAACUAUGCCUGAAUAGGGUGAAGCCAGAGGAAACUCUGGUGGAGGCUCGUAGCGGUUCUGACGUGCAAAUCGAUCGUCGAAUUUGGGUAUAG